UGCUCUAGAACUUUCUCCAGCUGUCGGUAGGUCUGCUCUAGAACUUUCUCCAGUUGUCGGUAGGUCUGCUCUAGAACUUUCUCCAGCUGUCGGUAGGUCUGCUCUAGAACUUUCUCCAGCUGUCGGUAGGUCUGCUCUAGAACUUUCUCCAGUUGUCGGUAGGUCUGCUCUAGAACUUUCUCCAGCUGUCGGUAGGUCUGCUCUAGAACUUUCUCCAGCUGUCGGUAGGUCUGCUCUAGAACUUUCUCCAGCUGUCGGUAGGUCUGCUCUAGAACUUUCUCCAGCUGUCGGUAGGUCUGCUCUAGAACUUUCUCCAGCUGUCGGUAGGUCUGCUCUAGAACUUUCUCCAGCUGUCGGUAGGUCUGCUCUAGAACUUUCUCCAGCUGUCGGUAGGUCUGCUCUAGAACUUUCUCCAGUUGUCGGUAGGUCUGCUCUAGAACUUUCUCCAGCUGUCGGUAGGUCUGCUCUAGAACUUUCUCCAGCUGUCGGUAGGUCUGCUCUAGAACUUUCUCCAGUUGUCGGUAGGUCUGCUCUAGAACU
Long non-coding RNA from Acanthochromis polyacanthus (spiny chromis), 540 nucleotides. RefSeq lists it as uncharacterized. The transcript is spliced from 5 exons. Lineage: Eukaryota; Metazoa; Chordata; Actinopteri; Pomacentridae. The record is from RefSeq and is a predicted model, not a curated record.